GGGCUGUUAGCUCAGUUGGUAGAGCAGCUGACUCUUAAUCAGCGGGUCGCAGGUUCGAAUCCUGCACAGCCCACCA
RNAcentral lists this transfer RNA (76 nucleotides) under Rhodospirillaceae bacterium. Its description in RNAcentral is "tRNA-Lys". It matches the Rfam family "tRNA". Rfam says of the family: Transfer RNA (tRNA) molecules are approximately 80 nucleotides in length. Their secondary structure includes four short double-helical elements and three loops (D, anti-codon, and T loops). The record is from RNAcentral. RNAcentral also lists the same sequence under 2 other names. Lineage: Bacteria; Pseudomonadati; Pseudomonadota; Alphaproteobacteria; Rhodospirillales; Rhodospirillaceae.